CAGCCUCCCAGGUAACGUGGCACUCUAGGCGUUUCAGUCAGCAGAGCACGUGUGCGUCUCAGCCCCAAGCUGUCACUUUGUCCUUGGCAUAGAGCUAUCAAGGGUGUAGAACUACCAAGCAGAGCUGCUGCUUGCUCUGAGGAACCGGAGCGGGACUAAGGGUAUCCCUUUGAAGGACUCAGACUCUGCUGGCAACCUCCCCUUCUUCCCAUCUGUCUCUGUGCAUGGGAAAGCUCUGUCCCAGAUUCCAUCUCAGAGACCAGGAACGCGGUCACCUUUGUGUGGAAAAAAGUAUUUCUGUUGCCACCUGCCUUACUCGGAGCCUUCCCAGCACCACUGUGCCAGAGCCAUUCCUCUCUUUGAGUUUGUUUGGGAGCAGGAGCUGGGUGGGAGCCAGGGGCUUGCAUAGUCAUCUGUGUUAAUGAAUGGAAAAUUGUUCCAUUUUAAUCACACAGGUGUGCCCUGGAGAAAGUGCACUUCAGGCCAGCAUGGCUGGCAUGGCUCCAGGGCUGAGUCCAGCUCCCUUUCUCAGCCCUGCCUUGUGGCAGGAAUCCUAUGCCCUGCCUCCCCCACAGACAGCUCUCCACUGCCCAAGCAGCACAGCUAUCAUGGAGCAUGUGUCCAAGCAGAGGUCUUUGCUUCUCUGGCCUACAGGAGGGGCUCCCCAGGGUGAUCUCUCUAAGGAACCGGAUCUGUGCUGGGAUUGGAGUCAAUUUCCCCCUGCCUCUGAAUGGGCUAAAGUAGGAUUUAGCCAGAGAAGAGAAUUGUAUGGCUGUCUCACAAACUGUUAGGAUUACAGGCUGAGUUUGGGCAUCCUAGGCUGUCAGCCUGUGUCUACCCAGCAGACCCCGUUUAAAUCUAACAUCCCCUUGAGAGUCCCUCACUAGGCAGUGAGCCCCUCCAUUUACAGUGUCCCCAUACAUGCCUCCAGGAGCAAUGAAGCAUUGGCUGGAGCACAGUGUUGUUUCCCAGCCUCACCAGUACAGAUGUUCCCACAGAGCCUGUCUGUGACCAGCUGUCCUUUUCCAUCCCUCACAUCUUAUCUCCCUACCUACCCACCCAUCCCAUCUCUCAGCUUAUUCCCUCCAUCAGGGCAUGGGAAGGGGAAAAAGGCAAAGGAAAUGAAUGGGGGUGUGGCUAGCCCCAACCUCAAGCAGCCCAGCUCCAUGGCCUGAGAGCAAGGCAUGUGGCUGGAGCAGGCAGCUAUCUGAUGUGUGCCGCAGCCUGUGGUGAGAUCCUGCCAGACCAUGUCCUGAUCCCCAUCUGUUUCUUGCGUGUGUCUGGUUUGUUUGUUGUUUUUUAACAUCCAUGCUGGUCAUGUUAACUGCUCCACAAUAAAUCUUACUGAAGGACCUGCAGGCCACUGCCUCUUGCUUCCCUGCAGGGCUCCCAGCAGCCUCUCCAAUGAAUCUAACAUUAUCCAGCAUCCAUUAAGCCCGAGGUCAGGGGAAAUUAGCUGCAGCUCUACUCACUUGGCUCUUGCUCCAUCUCAAUGCCCUAGGGGCUGUCCGACAGCCCUGUGCUCCAUAGCCCCUCCCCCUGCAUUGCACACAGCUGGACUCACGGAUACUCUAAAACUGGGGGGGCAACUGGAGCAAUUUCCAGUCUGGGCUGGGAGAGACCAGGCAGGUUCUGCUUCCUAUUGCCAUGAGAGUGCAGCCCCCUGGCCUUUGACUGCACCAGGCUGUCAGGACGGGUGAUCCUGAUGGGUGCUUAGCAGGCCCCAAAACAUGCUCAGUACCCUGAAAUCAAGAGACCUGACCCUGUGAGAGCCUGAGCACCAUCAAUUCUCACUGCAACUGGUGACUAUGGAGGGGGCUCAGUACUUCACAAGAUCAGGGCGUGAGGGAGGCAGGGAGCAGGCUGAGAGCAUCAGUCACAUGCACCUGCAACCUGCUAGGCUUUGGCUUCAGUGGACAUGGCAGGGGCUCUGCAUUGUGUCCAGUCAUGUCUGCACCAGAUACAAGAAUGGCUGGAGCUCUGUUUUGAGAGCUGUGGUAAAGAUCUUGCCCAGAAGCUUCCAGCUGGCCUGGUAGGGGCUCUUUUCUACAGGAGUGGGAGAUAAACCCAUUGGGCACCUAGUGCAAGUAUCCAGACCAGGGCAGUGGGGCAUCCUUUCAACUGUUCCCCAGUGGGCCUCACACAGCUGGGGUGAAGAGACGGAACUGCCCAUGGGUUAUAACACUGCUUGUUGGUCCUAUUGAAGGCUGCUCCAUUACUUCUGACACCUUUUCCUAUCCCAGGUGCCCCAGACUACCCUCAUGACAUGCCAAGUUGUGUGAUAGUGCCACAGUGCUGUAGGGACUAGGGAAGCAGCUAUGAGCUCUGGUGACAUGGAGACCUGCUCCCACAGGAGCUGGAAGGGGAGGGAGGAGGGAGUGGGGGGGUUAACAUUAAUUACUGUGAAAGUGCUAUUGUAGCCCUAGAUUUUUCUCCAUCCAGCCCCUCCACUCCACACAGGGACCAGAUCUCUUCUGCCAGAAUCCUUGUGUUUAUGAAUGAAAUGGGUAGUAUUUGGCUUCUGUCAGCAUUUUCUGAGCCCAGUGACUGUAACCACGUGCAAAUGAGAAGCCAAUUUUGGGGUCAGACAGAUCUCUCUCUCUCUCACACGCAAACACACACACACUCCCUCUCCCUCCCUCUUUCCCCUGGUUUUCUCCCACUAAUUCUCAGAGGUGCUGCACUCCUGUGGCCCACACUGGUUUCCAUCAGGGUUGUGGGCACUCAACAUCUCUGGUGAUCAUGAAGCCCUAGACAGGAGCCCAGAUAUCCCUCUGGUGCUGGUCUGAGGGGCUGCAGAGACCAUGCUCAGCUGUUGGCCAGAGGAGGGGUUGGAGAGCUGGGUAACAAACUUCAGCAGUGAUCCCUGUAGAUCAUUUUAAAAUGCACCAUCUAAUUCUGUUAUGCCACACAAGGGCAGCUGCCAAAUAAAGCCUCCCAGCUGGGAAAGGUUAAUGGGAGGAUUAACAUUCCUGAAGCAGCAGAGCUGUAUAACUAGCAGUAUUGUUGGCACUUAAGCACUGUGGUGCCCUAGCCCUUCAGAACUGCUCUUGCUGGCUAAAGGAUAAGUGACUGACCCCUAGUAUUAGAUAACUCACUAGUGCACCAAUGCAUUUGUGGGUGCCCCUCACCAAGGCAUUUCUGACCUGCUAUGCUCAGGCCUCUCCAGGGGUGAGUCAAGGGCGAUGGAGCAGGAAGGAGUUUUUGGUGACAAGGCAGUGACUGCUACAGAGAAUGUCUCUUUGUCUGCUUCUUCCUGGCUCUUGGAGAUGAAGCUGGCAACUUUCUGGCAUCCUUCUCCACUUAGGGCUUCUGAAUACUUUCCAAGGGGGGGAAGGGGGGCCAUCUUCAGCACCAACCUGGCCUGGGGAACAGAAGGGGUGUGGGCAGCAAGGGCAGGAGCCAGAAACCAUGAACUUUCCCUGCUGAAUGAACUACCAAGUUGGAGCUUGGCCAUGGAGCUGCUUCUUCAGGAAGUCACAUCAGGGGCAGCACAGACCUGCCUGAAGAAAUUUAGCUCAGCAAAGCCAGAGAGCAGCUGGAGGAUGCAAAGACCAGAACUUCUUAGCAACCUUAUCCUCACUGACUUGGCUGAGGUCCCCUGUUUUCCAGCCCAUGAGAGAUCUGAGAAGCUUCAAGCCAAUAUAAGCUGUUAUCAAAGAGCACAGCCUGACAUGGACCACAGAGUAAA
Molecule: long non-coding RNA, 3691 nt
Organism: Gavialis gangeticus (Gharial)
Lineage: Eukaryota; Metazoa; Chordata; Crocodylia; Gavialidae
Exons: 2
Source: RefSeq, a predicted model, not a curated record